RNAcentral lists this ribosomal RNA (512 nucleotides) under Rhodotorula paludigena. RNAcentral describes it as "LSU rRNA". It matches the Rfam family "Eukaryotic large subunit ribosomal RNA", at positions 62 to 577 of the family's 3401-position model. The record is from RNAcentral. Lineage: Eukaryota; Fungi; Basidiomycota; Microbotryomycetes; Sporidiobolales; Sporidiobolaceae.
AAACUAACAAGGAUUCCCCUAGUAGCGGCGAGCGAAGCGGGAAGAGCUCAAAUUUAUAAUCUGGCACUUUCAGUGUCCGAGUUGUAAUCUCUAGAAGUGUUUUCCGCGUUGGACCGCACACAAGUCUGUUGGAAUACAGCGGCACAGUGGUGACACCCCCGUACACGGUGCGGACGCCCAGCGCUUUGUGAUACACUUUCGAAGAGUCGAGUUGUUUGGGAAUGCAGCUCAAAUUGGGUGGUAAAUUCCAUCUAAAGCUAAAUAUUGGCGAGAGACCGAUAGCGAACAAGUACCGUGAGGGAAAGAUGAAAAGCACUUUGGAAAGAGAGUUAACAGUACGUGAAAUUGUUGGAAGGGAAACGCUUGAAGUCAGACUUGCUUGCCGGAGCUUGCUUCGGUUUGCAGGCCAGCAUCAGUUUUCCGGGGUGGAUAAUGGCGGUUAGAAGGUAGCAGCUUCAGCUGUGUUAUAGCUUUCCGCUGGAUACAUCCUGGGGGACUGAGGAACGCAGCGU